RNAcentral lists this ribosomal RNA (264 nucleotides) under uncultured archaeon. Its description in RNAcentral is "partial 16S ribosomal RNA". It matches the Rfam family "Archaeal small subunit ribosomal RNA", at positions 717 to 982 of the family's 1478-position model. The record is from RNAcentral.
AGACGUCUACAUUAGAUACCCCGGUAGUCCCAGCCGUAAACUAUACGCGUUAGGUGUAUCGGUGACCACGAGUUACCGAGGUGCCGAAGGGAAACCGUGAAACGUGCCGCCUGGGAAGUACGGUCGCAAGGCUGAAACUUAAAGGAAUUGGCGGGGAGCACCACAACAGGUGGAGCCUGCGGUUUAAUUGGACUCAACGCCGGGAAGCUCACCGGAUAGGACAGCAGAAUGAUUGCCGGGCUGAAGACCCUGCAUGACUAGCUG